GAUGAACGCUGGCGGCGUGCCUAAUACAUGCAAGUCGAGCGAACGGACGAGAAGCUUGCUUCUCUGAUGUUAGCGGCGGACGGGUGAGUAACACGUGGAUAACCUACCUAUAAGACUGGGAUAACUUCGGGAAACCGGAGCUAAUACCGGAUGAUAUUUUGAACCGCAUGGUUCAAAAGUGAAAGACGGUCUUGCUGUCACUUAUAGAUGGAUCCGAGCUGCAUUAGCUAGUUGGUAAGGUAAGGGCUUACCAAGGCAACGAUGCAUAGCCGACCUGAGAGGGUGAACGGCCACACUGGAACUGAGACACGGUCCAGACUACUACGGGAGGCAGCAGUAGGGAAUCUUCCGCAAUGGGCGAAAGCCUGACGGAGCAACGCCGCGUGAGUGAUGAAGGUCUUCGGAUCGUAAAACUCUGUUAUUAGGGAAGAACAUAUGUGUAAGUAACUGUGCACAUCUUGACGGUACCUAAUCAGAAAGCCACGGCUAACUACGUG
This 497-nucleotide ribosomal RNA is filed under the name uncultured bacterium. Its description in RNAcentral is "partial 16S ribosomal RNA". It matches the Rfam family "Bacterial small subunit ribosomal RNA", at positions 28 to 507 of the family's 1533-position model. The record is from RNAcentral.